GCGCUUUGGGGCCGGGCCUUUGUCCCGGGCCCUGUGACCCGGUCUCUCUUUAUCCUGCAGUCCUCCAUGUGCUUCGAAGCUCUGGCCACUCAGAGCCCAAGCCUCGGUCCCUCCUGCUCCUGCCCAGCGGCCAGGCUCCUGCACACAGAACAUGAAUUCCCAUUUAUCAAUCACUCAGUCUGGAUGAAGCGAUGUCACGAGCAUCCCUAUAGAGAGGCCCACAUGCCAAGGAGCAGAAGCUUCCUGUCACAUGGUGAGUGAGCUUGGAAAUGGAACCUCCAGCCCCGGUCGAGCCUUCGGAGAUGGCCGUCCCCACCAACAGCUCAAGAACCACGUCAGGAGAGAGCCCCAGCCGAGCCACCCAGCUCAGCCUCUCCCGGAUUCCUGACUGUCAGUAAUUGUGUGAGAUAAUAAAUAUUUACUGUUUUAAGCUGCUA
RNAcentral lists this long non-coding RNA (437 nucleotides) under Equus caballus (horse). RNAcentral describes it as "lncRNA (ENSECAG00000060219.1)". The record is from RNAcentral. Lineage: Eukaryota; Metazoa; Chordata; Mammalia; Perissodactyla; Equidae.